This 432-nucleotide ribosomal RNA is filed under the name uncultured bacterium. RNAcentral describes it as "bacterial SSU rRNA". It matches the Rfam family "Bacterial small subunit ribosomal RNA", at positions 29 to 507 of the family's 1533-position model. The record is from RNAcentral.
AACGAACGCUGGCGGCAUGCCUAACACAUGCAAGUCGAACGAGACCUUCGGGUCUAGUGGCGCACGGGUGCGUAACGCGUGGGAAUCUGCCCUUGGGUUCGGAAUAACUCAGAGAAAUUUGAGCUAAUACCGGAUGAUGACGAAAGUCCAAAGAUUUAUCGCCCAGGGAUGAGCCCGCGUAAGAUUAGCUUGUUGGUGGGGUAAUGGCCUACCAAGGCGACGAUCUUUAGCUGGUCUGAGAGGAUGAUCAGCCACACUGGGACUGAGACACGGCCCAGACUCCUACGGGAGGCAGCAGUGGGGAAUAUUGGACAAUGGGCGCAAGCCUGAUCCAGCAAUGCCGCGUGAGUGAUGAAGGCCUUAGGGUUGUAAAGCUCUUUUACCAGGGAUGAUAAUGACAGUACCUGGAGAAUAAGCCCGGCUAACUCCGUG